UCCUGAGUGGCUCAGUCGGUUGAGUGUCUGACUUUGGCUCAGGUCAUGAUCUCACGAUUUGUGGGUUCAAGCCCCACGUCAGGCU
This 85-nucleotide transfer RNA is filed under the name Felis catus (domestic cat). It matches the Rfam family "tRNA". From Rfam's summary of the family: Transfer RNA (tRNA) molecules are approximately 80 nucleotides in length. Their secondary structure includes four short double-helical elements and three loops (D, anti-codon, and T loops). The record is from Rfam by way of RNAcentral. Lineage: Eukaryota; Metazoa; Chordata; Mammalia; Carnivora; Felidae. RNAcentral also lists the same sequence under 2 other names.